AGGCAAUUGACGAAACAGUAUUUCUCUAUUUGGCGGGACAAGUGGUCUUUUUUCCUUUUCAAAAACCGCGACUGUUCCAGUGAAACAUACGCGGAGAAGGGUUUCCCAACGGAUUUCGUCACCGGUUUCAGCCAUGUCUGACAAGGAAGGCGGCGACGAUGCUUGUGCUGUUCGAAGUCCAGUUCAGCCUACUCCCGAUGACCUUCGUUGCGUUUUCGAAACCACUUCAUCGCGGUGCCAUCAGCAGAGACUCGAAGGCAAAACGCACUGCGAUAAGCAUCUCAAAUUUGAACCAGGAAGGCGAGGAAGGAGAGGAAGGCCUCCUAAGGCUUCUAGGGUUGAAUCUUAUGGUGGAAGAAGGCCUCUUAAGGCUUCUAGGGUUCUUGGAAACUUAGCUCAGGAAGCUGAAGAAAACGAGGCAAACGGUAAAAGUAACUGUGAUAAGCAUCUCGAAGUUGAAUGUCGUAGCAGAGGAACGCAUCCUGGGGCUUCUAUGGUUAAACGUGGUAGCAGAGGAAGGCCCUACGCGAUGCGUUGCGCUUUCAUCGAUGGUAGAGGACGUUGUAGAAAGCUGAGUUUAGGCCAGCAGAACAUUUGUGCAGAGCAUAUCAAAUCUAGUUGUCGAACGAAAGGGGAGGAGUCGAGGGUUAGGGUUUCUGAAACUCCAGUGGAAGAAAAUGGGAAGAAGGUGGAUAUUAGUUUGUACAAGACACCUCCAGAUGAGCUGCGUUGCAACCGAAAUGAUGGAAAGGAAUGGCGGUGUAAGAACUGGAGAAUCCAUGGUAAGAAUGUGUGCCAAGAGCAUCAUCUUAAGGCUUCCAGAGUUCUUCGUACGAGGAAAAAGAAUAUGGUAAAGGCGAAGGAAGAAGUUUUGGAUGAGGGGUACGAGGAGUGGGAGAAAGAUGGUACUUGCAAGCCCAAUUCUGUAGCCAGGGUUAAGAAUGAUCCCGGCAAACAGGGAUUGGAAAGCACAACGAAGUCUAAUGCGAGGGGAAACCAGAUCGAGUCAGAGAGGACCAUGACAUUGCGUUCCAGGAAGAAGGUGGCGCUGAACCUAGAUCAAAAUAUUAUGAAACCAGAUGAAAAGAAUACUGAACAAGAUGUAGAGGGUAAAAAGAAUAAAUUUAAGAGGAAUACUUAUGGAGUGGAUGAGGAUUCCUCCAUGUGCCAUCAGUGCCAAAGGAGCGAUAAAGAAAGAGUGGUUAUGUGUAACAAUUGUAGGAGGAAACGCUAUUGUGUGCCGUGCAUCGAGAGAUGGUAUCCUCAGUUGACUGAAGAUGCAAUUGUAAAUCUUUGCCCUUUUUGUUGUGGAAACUGCAAUUGCAAAGCAUGUUUACGUAAAACUGAAGGACUUAAGGAGCUGAGGAAGUCGAAAGUUCAGAUAAGUGAUGCUGAAAAAGUUCGGCACUCUAAAUACCUAUUACAUUCACUUCUUCCAUAUCUGAAACAAUUUGUUCAAGAACAACUAAAGGAAAAGGAGUUUGAUGCAAGGAUUCGAGGUUUAACACUGACGGAUGUAGAAAUACCAAAGGCAGACUGUGCUGUGGAUGAACGUAUGUACUGCAACAACUGCAAAACUUCUAUUGUCGAUUUCCAUCGAAGCUGUCCUAGCUGUUCAUAUGACCUCUGCCUUACUUGUUGUCGGGAGAUUCGUGAUGGCUGCCUGCAGGGUGGUAGGGAAGAAGUAAAAGAGGAAUUUUAUGAUAGAGGGACUGCAUACUUACAUGGGGACCUUUCUUCUGAAAAAAAAAAGUCUUCAAGGCCAAGGCGGUCUUCAAAACUGGACCAUGGAGAUCAUGCAUACUUCCAAAGGGACCAGGAAGCUCAUAAACUAAUGUCAGUGUGGAGAGCAAAUGAAAAUGGCAGUAUCCCUUGCCCCCCAAUGGAAAUGGGAGGUUGCGGCUGUGGCCUUCUAGAGCUAAAGCGUAUUUUUGAGGACAAUUGGGCAGCCGAACUGGAAAAAAAAGCAGAAAAAAUUGCAAAGAAAAACAAAGUUAAUGAUGUGCCUGGAACUUCUGAACAGUGGUGCUCAUGCUUCAACUCAGUUGGCUUGAUUGACUCUAUUAACGAGAGUUUACGGAAAUCUGCUUCUCGAAAAGAUUCCAGGGACAACUAUUUAUUUAGUCCAAGAGCUGAAGAUGUCCAAAAUGGGGCCUUAGAGCACUUCCAUCAUCAUUGGAUCAAGGGUGAACCAGUGAUUGUCCGCAAUGUGCUUGAACUUACAUCUGGCUUGAGCUGGGAACCUAUGGUUAUGUGGCGUGCAUUUCGUGAGAUCACAAGUGUAAAACGCUCCACCCAUCUGACAGUUACGGCAAUUGAUUGUCUAGAUUUGUGUGAGGUUGAGAUCAAUAUUCACAGAUUUUUCAUGGGAUACUCAGAGGGUCGAAGCCACGCCAACUCAUGGCCUGAGAUUUUGAAACUGAAAGACUGGCCUCCCUCCGAAUUAUUUGAGAAGCGGUUACCAAGACAUGGUGCUGAAUUUGUCAGUUCUUUGCCAUUUCAAGAAUACACGCAUCCCAACUAUGGCAUUCUUAAUCUUGCUGUAAAAUUGCCCGAAAACACGUUGAAGCCAGAUCUUGGGCCAAAGACCUAUAUUGCUUAUGGAUUUCCUGAUGAGCUAGGCCGUGGUGAUUCAGUAACCAAACUUCAUUGUGAUAUGUCUGAUGCGGUAAAUGUUUUAACUCAUACUGCUGAUGUAGUGCCGAGUAUUGAGCAGCUUGCUAUGAUAGAAAAGUCGAAAAAGAAACACAGGGCACAAGACCAAAUAGAAAUAUUUGGUGGACUUCCGACAGUCAAUCAAAAAGUUAAGGAGAAGCCUCAGUCAUCCAUCCUGGAACAAGCUAUUCUAGAUUCAUGUGCAAUUUCAACUUCAGAGGGGUCAAUCUUGUCUCCGGUUUUGACUGCAGAAAAUUGUGCUUCCUGCCCCAUGCCUGGAAAUAAUAAGCACCUUAGGGUAGUCGGUUGCAACCAAGAUAUGCAAGAAGAAUAUGUGGGUGGGUUUAAUUCAAAGCCAACAAAUGGUUUGGUGAAUCUUGGAGUUCAAAGGAGAAAAAAAUAUAGUACUAGGAGAACCAAACGUGAAAAAAAUGAAGAACUAGCUGGAAUUGAAGAACAGAUGGAAGUAAAUACUUUUUCAGUUGCUGCAAAUGCUGAAGGAAAAGUUGAAGUUAAUGGUAUGCUCUUACAUAGAGAUGGAAAUGCUUGUUCAUCUGGUUUAACAGUAAAACUUAAUGAAGGGCACAACUUACCAAAUGGAGAAGACUCGGUCUCUGGUUUUCAGUCGGAAAAGGUGGGGGAUAGUAAUGUAUCAGAGGAUACCCAGAAGGGCAUGGGGAAGCCUAGAGGUGUUCGAGGUAGAAAGAGAAAGGAAAGGAAAUUGCAUCCACACUUCCGUGAUAAGUCAAGGAAGCUGGAAACUGAGAUUGAUAUGGAAGGCUGCCAGAAUAGGGUGGGAACUGGAAGUAGUGAAGAAUGUGAUGUGUGUCUCGCUGAAAGCCAAACUUUUACUAAUGAAGCACCUUUAAUUGGUAUACUGAAGGAAAAAAUUGGGUCCUCCGGUUCAAAAGAUGAUGCUAAAAUUAAGGAUGAUGACAAGAUGGAAACUUAUAAUGAAAGAGGUAUACCACAUGAAGUUACUGGAAUCAAGGAGGGGGGGCCUGAACCAGCAGAUGGCGGUGCCCUUUGGGACAUUUUCCGGAGGCAAGAUGUACCUCAGCUAGAGGCUUAUCUUAGGAAGCACAGUAGGGAAUUCAGACACAUCCUUUGUAAUCCUCUAAAGCAGGUUUCUCACCCCAUUCAUGAUCAGACUUUCUACUUAACCACAGAGCAUAAAAGGAAUCUCAAAGAGGAAUUUGGGAUUGAACCAUGGACUUUUGUGCAAAAACUUGGAGAGGCAGUAUUUAUUCCGGUUGGAUGUCCUCAUCAAGUUAGAAAUCUCAAGUCAUGCAUAAAAGUUGCACUUGACUUUGUAUCUCCUGAAAAUAUUCGUGAGUGCAUCCGCUUGACUGAGGAGUUUCGUUCACUUCCAAAUAAUCACAGGGCUAACGAAGACAAACUGGAGGUAAAGAAGAUGACUCUAUAUGCAAUAAACCAAGCGGUAGAAGAUUUGGGGCACCAGUCUGGGUGAAUUAUCAUUUCGUUUGGUAUUAUAUUCUGCUUUCUGUUGCUCUCAGCUUUCCUUUACGCUGCUGUUCAACUAUAAUGCCGUAUCUGUGCAUAAUAUUGCUAGUCCAGCUUUUACAGGAGUGAGACGGUUGUGGGGGACCAGGAUCUGCCAGUAGCAAAUUCCAGAGAUAUCUCGAAAAUUUGUACUCGAAGCUGGUUCAACUCUGGAGACUAAUAUUUAAUGAUUCCAAAUUGAUUGGCUUUCCCUUUUUGAGUUCUGUAUAAAAGACCAAAUCAAUGUAAAGGCCAGACACUAAAUAUCUUCUCUCUUUUGGGGAUAUCUAAGUUUCUUAUAGUAGAAUGUCCAGUUUCCUCAUUCUCUUGUGACUUCUAGCUGUAGAACAGCAGAGAAUGAGGGUUUUUGCUCUCUUUUUGUACUGGAAAAUAGAUAUAUGGCACUCUAAUGCAUAGAUGUAGCUAUACCUAAAAUUAUAGUGAAAAGGAAUAUCAAAAUCAACAUGGCUUCGUUUUUGUCUAA
Macadamia integrifolia is the source of this 4642-nucleotide RNA transcript. It is a transcript of the gene named lysine-specific demethylase JMJ25-like, with no coding region annotated. The record is from RefSeq and is a predicted model, not a curated record. Lineage: Eukaryota; Viridiplantae; Streptophyta; Magnoliopsida; Proteales; Proteaceae. The transcript is spliced from 13 exons.